Fukomys damarensis (Damara mole-rat) is the source of this 1400-nucleotide long non-coding RNA. RefSeq lists it as uncharacterized. The record is from RefSeq and is a predicted model, not a curated record. NCBI's taxonomy places the organism in Eukaryota, Metazoa, Chordata, Mammalia, Rodentia, Bathyergidae. The transcript is spliced from 5 exons.
UUUGCUCUGAGGUCACAAACAACACUAUUUUACAUAUGCUUCUAAUAAGACAGUCCUGCUUGUGUGUGUGUGUGCGAGUGUGUGAUGCCGGGCAUAGAGCCAAGGCCUACACACGGUAGGCAAGUAGUCUACCAAGGAGCGAGCCACACUCCUACCUCCUUGCAUAGGCUUUAAAACCACAUAAUUCUGUAUUAUAUUCUUGGCUCCAACACUUGUACAGCUGGAAGAAACUGAUGGAACUGAAGACACCGAGGGUAGUGCUGGACAUUUGACAGGCAACCAACUGAAUACCCAUCUAAAAGCCCUGCCAGCCUACUAGAAACAGCUAGUGAGUGGGGACCUGCAGCCAGGCCUCUUCAUGGAAUUUGUGAUGUGCAUUGUGACUUAAUAAGGAACAAGAUUUCUGAAAUUCAGGUGGUGACUCCAUAUUACCAAUUCCGUAGAUGAUGGGGACUUCAAAGCUCUACAAAGAUAAAAGUAAAAAGAAUCUAAGAUCCUGGCUGCUCCAAAAUGGCCUGUGGCUCGCUACUGACAUCACUAAUCCUCAGAAUUACAGUUAAGUGUAUAGAAGCCAGGUUUGAGGCCUGCAAAGAAAAAGGAGCAUCUCUGUCAAGCGUAUGGGACAGUUAUCAAGCCCACCACCAUAAGAAAUGAGACCUCAAUGUACCAAAUUUUAUCAACCAUCUGACAGACCAUAUAACAAAGACAAAGAUGGAAGUGACAAGAGAAGCUGUAUAACACACUUUUGCUCUCCUGGCAUAGAGCUGACUGAUGUAGUUCAGUGCAAAUUCCCAGGAGUUGAAAUCUGACCUAAGGACCAUCCCCCCAUGUACUAACAAUUUACCAUGUGACCAAUGUCAGUAGGAUUAUUUCUCACUCAGGAAACUGAAAUCAAGAGAAGCAAGUGAUGGCAGUAGGAUCUAAAGUCAAAAGGUGAAUGUGGGAGCCAACAAUAGGUCAUAUAAAACUUAAAGACGGAAUAAAGGAAAACAAUGUACAAGGACAGUUGUGAGAUAGAGAUGAGAUAUAAAUGGAACUAGGAAGAAGAGACCACAAACUCCUGCCCUGAAUUUUUUGUAAUAGCAUCAUUUCUAGGCCCUUCUUGUAGUUCUUCUUCUUAAUGCCUGCUAGGUUUGGGUUGGUGGGUUACCAAGCUCUUAUAUCCUUAAAUAACCUCCAUGUUGCUUGAGAUAACUUGGGUUAGGACUGACAAACCUGCAAACAUAAGAGCUUACGAUUUAAAUGAAUAACAUCUCUUAUAAUUGAAAUUUCCCAAGUCCUGAGCUUUUAUUUCAUCAUGUUAACACAAACUUACUGUAAGACUUCAUAAACUUUCAUAUGUCUAUCAGUAGAUGAAUGGUUAAAGAAAAUGUGCUAUAUAUGCACAAUGGAGUAUUAAU